This 656-nucleotide long non-coding RNA is filed under the name Homo sapiens (human). RNAcentral's name for it is "HSALNT0210862". The record is from RNAcentral. Lineage: Eukaryota; Metazoa; Chordata; Mammalia; Primates; Hominidae.
AUUACAGGUAUGAGCCACCACGCCUGGCCCCUUCACUCUUUUUAACAACAUAUUUUUAAUUUCUUGCAUUGAAAUCAUAAUUUGACACUAUUUUUUGUUGUUGUUUUUUACUUGUCUCUUUUAACUGGACUGUAAGCCAACAAUAGAAGGAAACUUUUGUGUUUCACUCACUACUGUGUCCCCAGUGCCUAGAACAGGGCUUGUACAUAGGAAGCAGGAAAUAAACUUUUUUUAAAAGAAAUGAAUGGGGAGCUGAUUUUUCAUGCCCUUGAGAAGCCAAGAUCUCGAGGCAGGCAUAUGUGGGGGUGUCAAAAGCAGGUCAGGAGGUCGUCUCAUUUCCUUGUACUUUCAUUGCAUCAAGGUGCUAACACUGCUUCUCAGGUACCAUUUGUUAACUGAACCAUCAAUGCUUAGGAAGUAGAAAGGAAGAAAUGAAAUAAUUAUGUUUCAGAUUGAGCCCUUUUCCUGGAAACUUGGAAGAGUGUUCCAUACCAUCCAGUCUUUCUGUCACUUUUACCUAUUUCAGGUGUGUCCAGUCUCAGCUGGGAAUGGAAGAUGCUUUGCAUAUCUUUAAAAUCUUCGGGCCAUAGAGUUGGGGAGAGUACAGAAAGAAUACCACAGAACUUUUAUGCCAGAAAAUGGCAGGUGCUCCAAGG